This 161-nucleotide ribosomal RNA is filed under the name uncultured bacterium. RNAcentral describes it as "partial 16S rRNA". It matches the Rfam family "Bacterial small subunit ribosomal RNA", at positions 358 to 511 of the family's 1533-position model. The record is from RNAcentral.
GGAAUCUUCCACAAUGGGCGCAAGCCUGAUGGAGCAACACCGCGUGAGUGAAGAAGGGUUUCGGCUCGUAAAACUCUGUUGUUAGAGAAGAACACGAGUGAGAGUAACUGUUCAUUCGAUGACGGUAUCUAACCAGCAAGUCACGGCUAACUACGUGCCAG